Molecule: long non-coding RNA, 1346 nt
Filed under: Apteryx haastii (Great spotted kiwi)
Lineage: Eukaryota; Metazoa; Chordata; Aves; Apterygiformes; Apterygidae
Description: lncRNA (ENSAHAG00000010272.1)
Source: RNAcentral
CAAAGGGAUGCUGCUGCUGCCCCUCCGCCCCCGGCAGCACCAGCCCUUGGCGGGGGGGGAAAAACCAACCCAGCAGGGAAAAGCCGCCUUCCAGGGCACCUCCUGCGUGUGACCCUCGAGAGAGGACCCGGCCCUGCCGCUCCGACGGGAGGAAAACCGAGCGAGGCGGAAAAGCCGUGCUCGGGCAGCCCUCCCCGCUGCCACCCCCCGCCGGCAUCCCCCUUCCCCUCCCGGCAGCUCCGAGAAGAGCCGACGUCUCCRCGCGCCCCUCCAGCCAGGGGGAUGAGAAUGUGGAAGCAAUUGCACUUGGCAAGGCAGCAACAGUGAGUCAAAAACAGUUGUUUGGCUUGUCAGCCACCCAGGCCCUGCAGCACUCUUGUUUUCCUCCUCCUGCCUUAACCCCUUCGGGACCCGGCGGCAAACCGGCCGGCUGCGGGGCAAUUCCCGGGGCGGAAGCGUGCCGUGAGCGCUGGGUCUUUCCCGCGCUGGCGGGGAGCCCGGGGCCGGCCAGGUCCGCAGCCCGGGGUGAAGGGAGCUCCGGAGGCCACCGGGGAGCAGAGGGAUGCCCGGCGCUCCUGAAGCAUCCCAGAGGCGGGGUAAUUCCCGUGGCGGGGAGGCAGCGGGUGGCUAAGCCAGGCUGGGCUGCUCUCGCCCUGCUCCGGGGGGCUGGUGGACUGAAAAGCCAAGCCCAGCUCCAAACCCCCUUCCUGCACCCUGCAUCCACACAACGGAGACCCCGAGCCCAGGGAUGUGCAAGGGGAGUGUCUGCUUCUCCCAGGCCCCGGAGCAGAGGGACAUUCCCGCUUGCUGGCGCCAGGAGGAGAGGGCAGCGCUCCYGCCCCGGCGAGGGCGAGCAUCCCCGGCCAGGAGCACACCGAGGCCACGGGCAACGCGCCGGACCCCACGCCCGGGAUGCUUUCCCAGUCCUGCUGGGAAGCACGGCCACCCCCCGUCCCCACUUGGACGAGGCCGUUCGUGACAAUUUAGCAAAUCCCACGGGUUCCUGCCUGCCCCGAGGCCGGAAAGGCUCCCGGAGCUGCCGAGCCAGGGAUGCUUUGGGGUCUUUCCCCCAGCCCCGGGACCCCCCCCUCCUUGCACCCCAAGCCGGGCGACUGGUGCCAACCACCACGGGCGAGGAAGAGUUAAAGCCUCCUGAGCAAGCCGGGGAGGAAGAGCGGAGGGCGCGCGGGCGCCGGGGCGAGACAAAGCGCCGCGCGGGAGCCAAGGGAUGAAGGCGAGGAUGCGAUCCGAGGGGGAGCCGGGGCGCGAGCGAGGCAGCGGGGAGGAGCAGGGGAGGUGGUUGAUGACCAAAGUCAUUGAGCAUUUUUUGGCACGCCUUCCCCCCC